GAUGCCGCGUGAGUGAAGAAGGCCUUUGGGUUGUAAAGCUCUUUCGUCGGGGAAGAAAAUGACUGUACCCGAAUAAGAAGGUCCGGCUAACUUCGUGCCAGCAGCCGCGGUAAUACGAAGGGACCUAGCGUAGUUCGGAAUUACUGGGCUUAAAGAGUUCGUAGGUGGUUAAAAAAGUUGGUGGUGAAAUCCCAGAGCUUAACUCUGGAACUGCCAUCAAAACUUUUUAGCUAGAGUAUGAUAGAGGAAAGCAGAAUUUCUAGUGUAGAGGUGAAAUUCGUAGAUAUUAGAAAGAAUACCAAUUGCGAAGGCAGCUUUCUGGAUCAUUACUGACACUGAGGAACGAAAGCAUGGGUAGCGAAGAGGAUUAGAUACCCUCGUAGUCCAUGCCGUAAACGAUGUGUGUUAGACGUUGGAAAUU
Molecule: ribosomal RNA, 421 nt
Filed under: uncultured Pelagibacterales bacterium
Lineage: Bacteria; Pseudomonadati; Pseudomonadota; Alphaproteobacteria; Candidatus Pelagibacterales
Description: bacterial SSU rRNA
Rfam family: Bacterial small subunit ribosomal RNA
Source: RNAcentral